AGGGUUCACACAAUGAAGCAAUGAGAAGCUCUCUCCACAGCAGGUGCUGUUUAAAGCAAGGGUUAAUCUACUCUUCUGGCCUCAGAUGAACCCAGUUUCAGAGCACCCUCAUGCCCCAGCUGUUCUUGUCCACCCUAGUAAACAUUACCCUGCUUCGGAUCUGCCAGCAUAGCCAUAGGUUGGAGGUGCUCCCUAACCCAAUUCUGUCACAGUAAUCUGGGUCAGCCUCAACACUUCACGCAGUACAUUUAUUUUUGUAACUCAUCACUUCAACAGUUGGGUUAAAGAACCCCUUCAUGUGCAAUUAUGCUGACAAAACUGAGAGGUAGUAAGUGCCGGAGGGGAGCUAAGCAGAGUACCAUAGAUGUGCUGGUAGCCAGGCAGCAGGCUGACCAUUCCAUGGAGCACACAGUGAACAAACGUGGGAACAGACCCAAGCACAUUUUAUUGUCAUCUUCUAGCAACAGUUCUGGCAUCUGACCAGGGAGGAGGUGUGGUGUCAUAUGGUGGGAAUGAUAUUCAGUAGAGGAAAAAGAGAAUUUACAAGCAAUUGUGUAUACAUGGUUAAAAUCAAAUAAGUAAGUCACGGUCAUGAAAACAAAACAGAACACAACAAAAACACCUUUAAAAUCAGCAAUGAAUGUAAGCACAAGGUAAAAUGAAAUACAGCAGAAUGCUGGCCCAAAUAGGUGAGGAGGAGGAGGGUGAGCUAUACUAAGGAGGAGGUUGGUGGAUGGGAGGACGUUCAAAGGGUGACUGGACACUUACCAAAGGGGAAAAUAUGUCUUAAACAAGGGCAGAAGAUUCACAUCGGCGCUGAAACCUGCAGGGAGGUCAGUGGUUGCUGUCUCAGUUUUAUGCAUUUUGAUCUUCAUGCUCUGCACUGCC
RNAcentral lists this long non-coding RNA (888 nucleotides) under Coturnix japonica (Japanese quail). RNAcentral's name for it is "lncRNA (ENSCJPG00005004417.1)". Lineage: Eukaryota; Metazoa; Chordata; Aves; Galliformes; Phasianidae. The record is from RNAcentral.